CAUAGGUUAAUGAGGCGAACCGGGGGAACUGAAACAUCUAAGUACCCCGAGGAAAAGAAAUCAACCGAGAUUCCCCCAGUAGCGGCGAGCGAACGGGGAGGAGCCCAGAGCCUGAAUCAGUGUGUGUGUUAGUGGAAGCGUCUGGAAAGGCGCGCGAUACAGGGUGACAGCCCCGUACACAAAAAUGCACAUAUUGUGAGCUCGAUGAGUAGGGCGGGACACGUGGUAUCCUGUCUGAAUAUGGGGGGACCAUCCUCCAAGGCUAAAUACUCCUGACUGACCGAUAGUGAACCAGUACCGUGAGGGAAAGGCGAAAAGAACCCCGGCGAGGGGAGUGAAAAAGAACCUGAAACCGUGUACGUACAAGCAGUGGGAGCCUCUUAAUGGGGUGACUGCGUACCUUUUGUAUAAUGGGUCAGCGACUUAUAUUCUGUAGCAAGGUUAACCGAAUAGGGGAGCCGAAGGGAAACCGAGUCUUAACUGGGCGUUAAGUUGCAGGGUAUAGACCCGAAACCCGGUGAUCUAGCCAUGGGCAGGUUGAAGGUUGGGUAACACUAACUGGAGGACCGAACCGACUAAUGUUGAAAAAUUAGCGGAUGACUUGUGGCUGGGGGUGAAAGGCCAAUCAAACCGGGAGAUAGCUGGUUCUCCCCGAAAGCUAUUUAGGUAGCGCCUCGUGAAUUCAUCUCCGGGGGUAGAGCACUGUUUCGGCAAGGGGGUCAUCCCGACUUACCAACCCGAUGCAAACUGCGAAUACCGGAGAAUGUUAUCACGGGAGACACACGGCGGGUGCUAACGUCCGUCGUGAAGAGGGAAACAACCCAGACCGCCAGCUAAGGUCCCAAAGUCAUGGUUAAGUGGGAAACGAUGUGGGAAGGCCCAGACAGCCAGGAUGUUGGCUUAGAAGCAGCCAUCAUUUAAAGAAAGCGUAAUAGCUCACUGGUCGAGUCGGCCUGCGCGGAAGAUGUAA
RNAcentral lists this ribosomal RNA (970 nucleotides) under Escherichia coli. RNAcentral describes it as "partial 23S ribosomal RNA". It matches the Rfam family "Bacterial large subunit ribosomal RNA", at positions 165 to 1175 of the family's 2925-position model. The record is from RNAcentral. Lineage: Bacteria; Pseudomonadati; Pseudomonadota; Gammaproteobacteria; Enterobacterales; Enterobacteriaceae.